GAUGAAGAACGUAGCGAAAUGCGAUAAGUAAUGUGAAUUGCAGAAUUCAGUGAAUCAUCGAAUCUUUGAACGCACAUUGCGCCCGCCAGUAUUCUGGCGGGCAUGCCUGUUCGAGCGUCAUUUCAACCAUCAAGCCCCCGGCUUGUGUUGGGGACCUGCGGCUGCCGCAGGCCCUGAAAACCAGUGGCGGGCUCGCUGUCACACCGAGCGUAGUAGAUUACUCUUCGCUCAGGGCGUGCAGCGGGUUCCGGCCGUGAAACCCCCUACUUUUAAAGGUUGACCUCGGAUCAGGUAGGAAUACCCGCUGAACUUAAGCAUAUCAAUAAGCGGAGGA
Molecule: unclassified non-coding RNA, 334 nt
Filed under: soil metagenome
Description: partial contains 5.8S ribosomal RNA, internal transcribed spacer 2, and large subunit ribosomal RNA
Rfam family: 5.8S ribosomal RNA (bases 1-120)
Source: RNAcentral